RNAcentral lists this ribosomal RNA (473 nucleotides) under uncultured organism. Its description in RNAcentral is "partial 16S ribosomal RNA". It matches the Rfam family "Bacterial small subunit ribosomal RNA", at positions 331 to 796 of the family's 1533-position model. The record is from RNAcentral.
GUACACUCCUGCGGGAGGCAGCAGUGGGGAAUUUUGGACAAUGGGCGAAAGCCUGAUCCAGCAAUGCCGCGUGAGUGAAGAAGGCCUUCGGGUUGUAAAGCUCUUUUGUCAGGGAAGAAACGGUGAGAGCUAAUAUCUCUUGCUAAUGACGGUACCUGAAGAAUAAGCACCGGCUAACUACGUGCCAGCAGCCGCGGUAAUACGUAGGGUGCAAGCGUUAAUCGGAAUUACUGGGCGUAAAGCGUGCGCAGGCGGUUUUGUAAGUCUGAUGUGAAAUCCCCGGGCUCAACCUGGGAAUUGCAUUGGAGACUGCAAGGCUAGAAUCUGGCAGAGGGGGGUAGAAUUCCACGUGUAGCAGUGAAAUGCGUAGAUAUGUGGAGGAACACCGAUGGCGAAGGCAGCCCCCUGGGUCAAGAUUGACGCUCAUGCACGAAAGCGUGGGGAGCAAACAGGAUUAGAUACCCCAGUAGUCC